UACUCACAGAGCACUGGUCAGGUUGAAUGCAUUCUAUGUUUAAAAGGAGUUGUCAUACUAUGGAACUGAGCAAUCCCCCCAGAGAGGCUGCCCACCAGAAGCCAAGUGUUUCUGCUCCAUUCUACAAUUGCUGGUGUUUAAGAUAAGGAACAUCUUCUUUUUCCUGUGGAAAGGAACUGGUUAAAGACUGGCAGAUAACAAGCAAGGAGCAGACAGACUCCAAAUUAACUGAAGAAACAACAACUUGUUUAAGAGGAAAGCUCUACUGUUGAAAGAUAUGGCAUCAACUGACACAUUCACUGCUGAGAAUUCACUGCUGGAGCCCCAGACACGCCUCUCAAGUAUGCAGCAUUAAUUUCUCACACUUGUCAUUUAGCUGUGUUAGAAGUAACUUACUCAGUGUGACAACCAAACAGAUGAUGACGAGAUUUCUAUCUAAUCAUGUCUUAUUUGAACUAGUCAACAGUCUGAAUCUUCAAUCACACAAACUCUCCAAAGCUAACUGUGGCACCCACUAGAACAGACUUUAAUAUUUCUUCAUAUUUAAUAAGAGAAAAGGAACUAACCUCUUUUUUCUUCUUCUCGUUUUAGUUUAUCUUCCUCUAUUUCUUUAGGUAAUUU
Peromyscus eremicus (cactus mouse) is the source of this 621-nucleotide long non-coding RNA. RefSeq lists it as uncharacterized. The transcript has 3 exons. The record is from RefSeq and is a predicted model, not a curated record. Lineage: Eukaryota; Metazoa; Chordata; Mammalia; Rodentia; Cricetidae.